Molecule: RNase P RNA, 366 nt
Filed under: human gut metagenome
Description: Bacterial RNase P class A
Rfam family: Bacterial RNase P class A
About the family: Ribonuclease P (RNase P) is a ubiquitous endoribonuclease, found in archaea, bacteria and eukarya as well as chloroplasts and mitochondria. Its best characterised activity is the generation of mature 5'-ends of tRNAs by cleaving the 5'-leader elements of precursor-tRNAs.
Source: RNAcentral
GCACGCAGGGAAAGGAACGAAGCGAGAGGAAAGUCCGGGCAGCACAGGACACCCCACUUCCCAAUGCAGAAGCAAUCCGCGAGGGUUGAGCAGUGUAGAAGAAAAAAACCGCCAGGCAGCCUUAUGGCUGUCAGGUAAGGGUGAGAAGGCGAGGUAAGAGCUCACCAGCAUAGUGGUGACAUUUAUGGCUGUACACCUUGGGGGCUGCAAGUUCAUGUAUAGUAGCGUUACGAGGGUUGUCCGCCCAAGCUACAGGGUAGAACGCUAAAGCCUGAUGGUGACAUCAGUGAUUGGAUAAAUGACAGACUGCGAGUGUUACCCUUAAAUAGUACAUUCGCUACAGAACCCGGCUUAUAGUUCAUCUGC